Molecule: ribosomal RNA, 253 nt
Filed under: uncultured bacterium
Lineage: Bacteria
Description: partial 16S ribosomal RNA
Rfam family: Bacterial small subunit ribosomal RNA
Source: RNAcentral
UACGUAGGGUGCAAGCGUUAAUCGGAAUUACUGGGCGUAAAGCGUGCGUAGGCGGUUAUGCAAGACAGAUGUGAAAUCCCCGGGCUCAACCUGGGAACUGCAUUUGUGACUGCAUGGCUAGAGUACGGUAGAGGGGGAUGGAAUUCCGCGUGUAGCAGUGAAAUGCGUAGAUAUGCGGAGGAACACCGAUGGCGAAGGCAAUCCCCUGGGCCUGCACUGACGCUCAUGCACGAAAGCGUGGGGAGCAAACAGG